Gorilla gorilla gorilla (western lowland gorilla) is the source of this 344-nucleotide long non-coding RNA. RefSeq lists it as uncharacterized. Lineage: Eukaryota; Metazoa; Chordata; Mammalia; Primates; Hominidae. The record is from RefSeq and is a predicted model, not a curated record. The transcript is spliced from 3 exons.
CCUUUCGGUUCUGCUCCUGAAUUUCUUCAAAAAUUCUGCUGCAUCAAGACUCUCAUGCUAGUCAGUUCCUGCCUGGGGUCACCAGACUGCUUUGAAGUCAGGAAGAACAUGGUGGGGACGGUGACUUGAGUUUCCUGGACCACAGUGCAGCUUUUCCCUUCUUCCCUCUGUCCUUGCUCAGCACGGUCACAACGACCCUCCAAAUCAUGAUGCUCAAAACGCCACAUCUAAAAAGAACAUCCGGUUGGCACCCCCUCUACAGAACAGGAGACGCACAGUUCCAACAGUUAUUGUAUACAUCACUGACCAUAUUAAUGACUCCACAAAAUCAAUCAUGGGUCCAC